This 380-nucleotide unclassified non-coding RNA is filed under the name uncultured bacterium. RNAcentral's name for it is "contains 16S-23S intergenic spacer region". The record is from RNAcentral.
UCCAGUUAAUCACCGGCAGUCUCUCUAGAGUGCCCAGCAUUACCUGAUGGCAACUAAAGAUAAAGGUUGCGCUCGUUGCGGGACUUAACCCAACACUUCACAGCACGAGCUGACGACAGCCAUGCAGCACCUGUGUAAUUGUCCCUUGCGGGAAAAUGAACUUUCAUUCACAGUCAACUACAUGUCAAGCCUGGGUAAGGUUCUUCGCGUAGCCUCGAAUUAAACCACAUGCUCCACCGCUUGUGCGGGUCCCCGUCAAUUUCUUUGAGUUUCAGUCUUGCGACCGUACUCCCCAGGUGGUGGAUUUAAUGCGUUAGCGUCGGCACCAGAGGGAUCGACACCCCUGACACCUAAUCCACAUCGUUUACGGCAAGGACUAC